Molecule: long non-coding RNA, 610 nt
Filed under: Androctonus crassicauda
Lineage: Eukaryota; Metazoa; Arthropoda; Arachnida; Scorpiones; Buthidae
Source: RNAcentral
ACUUGUUGGGACUCAAACUUUGUAGGAUGACUUCCUAUGACCCUGUAGGUAACAUAGGAUACUCAAAAUCAAAAUUGCCCCAGGGAAUGGGCAGAUUGGGGUUGUUCUUUCUGUCUGUCUGUUUCACUUAGAUUUCCACACCGUUUGAUCUAUUGGCACCAAAUUUUUCAGGCUGACUUUCCCCACAUAUAAUGUAGGGUACUCUGGAUCAAAACCAUCCCAGGGAUAGGGCAUUUUGGAGUUGUAAUUUAAAAUACAUAUUUGAAUCUUUCAGCCUAUUGUUCUGACUAUUGUUGAAAUUGCAAAAUAUGAAGUAGUGAUGUCAUGAUCUGACAAGCAUGACAUUAUCAUGAUGUAACAAUGAAUGAUAUCACAAAUGCUAUUGGUUUAUGGAUCAUUAUGAUGUAACAAUUACUGGCAUCAGAAAAGUUUGUCUAUAUGAUGUAACAAUGGGUGAUGUACCAGAAUGUUAUCAGAGUAUGAUAUCAAUAUGCCAUAACAAUGACAUCAUAACAGUUCUGACAUAUAUAGUAGUAGUAAUGUACGGCCCCGGGACGAUAGGAAACGACACAGGCUUAGGGCCUACCUGCGAUGGCGGUGUGGAUGGUGC